Molecule: non-coding RNA, 3833 nt
Organism: Xyrichtys novacula (pearly razorfish)
Lineage: Eukaryota; Metazoa; Chordata; Actinopteri; Labriformes; Labridae
Source: the annotation of a GenBank genome assembly
CGGCUUCGUUUGGAGGAGAAAAGUAGGUUAUCAUCAACCAUCUUAAUGUGCCGUUGCCUUCCAGAAUUAAGAGCGUUUAAGAGCUGUCAAAGACUGUUAGCUGAUCUCUGCAGGUGGUGACUAAUGGGACCGAUGUGUAGACGCAGGUGUAAAAUAUGCAGACUGCAAACAUUUCUCUGUGAAAGAAAAACACGUCAGGGAUAAGAAAUUAGAGUAACUCAUGUGCAUUUGGAUCCUUUCCCUGCUCUCCGUUAAAUGUCUUUAUAUGUGAGUUUUUUAAAGAAGAACACGAUUUUAUUUCCUCCUGCAUCAGUUCAUCGUUUUUUAACCUCUCAGGGAUUUUCAGCUUCGUUUCAUCAUUUCUCUGUAAAGUAUAAGUCCAUUUGUUUUGAAGAAGAAGUAAAAGAUAUUAAUCAAAUGUUGAGAUUCUCCCAUGUUUGAUCAGACUUCCCAAACACUUAACUUGCCGUUGGGGUUUCGUUAUCCUUCAUUUUGCUCACUUUAAACUGUGAUGCCAGCCUCAGAUUUGGCCGUCCUCCAAACGCUUUGGUCUUUUCAAAGAUGCAACAGUGCAGUUUGGCAGCCGGCACAAAGGGAGAGUUAGAAGACAACAUAUUAGCAAGAACCAGAGCAGGGCCGCUCACUCCCACAUCCAAGACUUCCAACAUCCAAAGUACACAUUUCUAUCCAAACUGCAGUUUUUCAGCCGUUAGAGGAAGCUGGAGUCUUAUCCAUAAAUAUGCAAAAUAAACUGGCAGGAGUCGAAGGAUUCUGGGCAGGAUUUCUGUCUGCCACCAGUGGAAGAUCAAACAAAUUAAAAAUGGGAAUGUGUCACUUGUUUUUCAGCGUUUGUAUAAUCUGCAGUUAUUUAUAAGUGCAGAGAAACGAUAAAAAGCAAGCGUGACAGAAAAAUAUGGAAAAUGUAGGAGAACAAAAGAAACGACUUCAUUUGGAGUUUUAAAUCUCAAAAGAAAAGAAUAAAGAGAAAAAAAAACAAUCCAGAUGACACAACAGACACAUCGGAGGCUAAUAAAAGGAACAAAAGACCCCAGAUAUCCGACAACGGUCCUGCUAAUACACAAAAACAAGACAACCAGAGAACACAAAGUCAGCGUGACUAAUUAAAACACCUGAAAGAAGAGGAGACGGGCUGUUUGUAUAUUUAUGAGGAAUUAUGUGAGGCAGAAAACCAACCAAUAAUAAUAAUAUUCUUAUUAUUUAAACCAACCAGACUGAUACUGCGGUUAUGGUAAAACCUCGACUCUGUGAUGUGUUAAAAUGUUUCUAACGUGUUUGACGGUUUUAAAAUCUUUUAUUAAUAGUACAAAGAUUAAAUAUCAACUGUUGAAACAGGAGGAGGGUCCAGAAAACACUGAAAAGUUGUGUAAUGUUGCAGAGCUUGACACUGACUUUUUUCACAAGGAGCACAAAGGACUUUAGGGGAACAAUGAAAAUUGAUCAAAUAAUGUUUGUCUUAUUGAUCAACCUUAGUACUAUUAUUAGAAAUCAAUUUCAGGUCUUUUGGUCACAUGACAGUGAAGCUAUUGAAGGAAAACAGCCUUUUCUGAGAACAUCAACCGGUAAUUUAUUGACGGUCCCUUAUUCAACACCGACUUUGACAGUGAGGGUGUCGAGUAGAUUUAACCGCGCUGCUGUUGUUAUUCCCGGUUAUGGAGAGUGAGAAGACACCGGUAGAUCCUCAGAGAAUGUCCGUCAGAUAUCCAACCUAAAACUAACUUCACCGCCGUAUUUACAGGAAAAUAUAUCCAACCUGAAACUAACUUCACCGCCGUAUUUACAGGAAAAUAUAUCCAACCUGAAACUAACUUCACCGCCGUAUUUACAGGAAAAUAUAUCCAACCUGAAACUAACUUCACCGCCGUAUUUACAGGAAAAUAUAUCCAACAUGAAACUAACUUCACCGCUGUAUUUACAGGAAAAUAUAUCCAACCUAAAACUAACUUCACCGCCGUAUUUACAGGAAAAUAUAUCCAACCUAAAACUAACUUCACCGCCGUAUUUACAGGAAAAUAUAUCCAACCUAAAACUAACUUCACCGUCGUAUUUACAGGAAAAUAUAUCCAACCUGAAACUAACUUCACCACCGUAUUUACAGGAAAAUAUAUCCAACCUGAAACUAACUUCACCGCCGUAUUUACAGGAAAAUAUAUCCAACCUAAAACUCACUUCACCGCCGUAUUUACAGGAAAAUAUAUCCAACCUAAAACUAACUUCACCGCCGUAUUUACAGGAAAAUAUAUCCAACCUGAAACUAACUUCACCGCCGUAUUUACAGGGAAAUAUAUCCAACCUAAAACUAACUUCACCGCCGUAUUUACAGGAAAAUAUAUCCAACCUAAAACUAACUUCACCGCCGUAUUUACAGGAGAAUAUAUCCAACCUAAAACUAACUUCACCGCCGUAUUUACAGGAAAAUAUAUCCAACCUAAAACUAACUUCACCGCCGUAUUUACAGGAAAAUAUAUCCAACCUGAAACUAACUUCACCGCCGUAUUUACAGGAAAAUAUAUCCAACCUAAAACUAACUUCACCGCCAUAUUUACAGGAGAAUAUAUCCAACCUUAAACUAACUUCACCGCCGUAUUUACAGGAGAAUAUAUCCAACCUUAAACUAACUUCACCGCUGUAUUUACAGGAAAAAAAAUAUGUGUGGGUAUUUUUUAAUGCGCACAUGUGACCUUAAAUACAUUUUACAAUUCACACUCAUCUAAUUUUAGUUGCACAAAGGAAACAUGCACUAAAAACAGACAUGACUCUGUAGUGGAAAUCACUGCAUGAGCUAUAAAUCCCCUUCAGAAACGACUGUCUUUGAACAGACGUUCACAUUUCAGCAAGACAGGCUGGACUCUGAAGUGGAAAUCACCACAUAGAAAGGACAACUCAAUAAAGUCCACUUGUCCUUUAAACGAAGAAUUAGAAACCAUAGAUGCUGCAUCCUCAGUUUUAAAGAGUAGAGCGUCCACCUGUCUUCUUCUCAGCGUCUCUAAUUAAGAGAAUAACUCGUUCAUUUAUUCAUCGAUGAACGUGUGCAGUUCGUGAAUCUCAGGACUAAUCAGGAUUAUUUUAGAUCACUCAUAUUUUCUCCACUUUGACACAAACUUCCCUUGAAUCCGUCUCUUCUCUUCCGUCGUGACGCCUCCGUUCUUCUCUGACCUUCAUCCCACCGUCCUCGGUGAUACAGGAGAAAGAGGUUUAAUGGCGUGUGUCUGCCAGAGCAUCUGUCCAGAGCAAAGAGCCAUGACACUGGGCUGUAGGAGAGAGGGAGGAACCGAGGAGCCCUGUGGGAGUUCUCUGGUGACCCUCCUUAUAAAACAGGCCUGAUGAAUCUGACCAGAGGACCUCUGCGCCCUUUGACUUCAAGAAUUACAGGCAUGGUUAAUUUGUACAGGAUUAAAAACACAGACUUCCUCCCCAGUUAUUAACUCUGACUGGAGGGUUGUACUAAUCCCAUGUGAGUCGGCUUAAACCUGAGGUCAGACCUCUCUCUGUGUUUCCUUUUAGACUCUCAGCAUUUAUAAUAACCUACUUCAUAAACCAUCUGAAAUUAACCGGUCUCUGGUCUCUGCUCCAGUACAGUCAGACUGAUAAUGACCCAGACAGGGUCCACUGAUGGUAGACUAGUCUGAGGAGGGUCCGGAUCAUUAUUAUUCUAUCAUGAGCCUCCUGUGAAAGUCUCAGACUGACACCAGACUCAGGUUAUCUGGAGAGUCUCUCAGUCCUGACUGGUUAGACACAGAGUUCAUGUGUGACAUUAGCAGACUUGAAUGAAGCUGCUGUAGAGUGUGUGGGGGUCGGUAUCUCUCAGUGUCCCC